CAAUAGCGUAUAUUAAAGUUGUUGCAGUUAAAAGCUCGUAGUUGGAUUUCGGAGUGGGCCAGUUGGUCCGCCGCAAGGUGUGUUACUGACUGGUUUGCUCUUCUUCGCAAAGACUGCGUGUGCUCUUGAGUGAGUGUGCGUAGAAUUUACGACGUUUACUUUGAAAAAUUAGAGUGUUCAAAGCAGGCUAUUGCUUGAAUACAUGAGCAUGGAAUAAUGGAAUAGGACUUUGGUCCCAUUUUGUUGGUUUUCGGAACUUGAGGUAAUGAUAAAGAGGGACAGACGGGGGCAUUCGUAUUACGGUGUUAGAGGUGAAAUUCUUGGAUCGCCGUAAGACGAACUACUGCGAAAGCAUUUGCCAAGCAUGUUUUCCUUAAUCAAGAACGAAAGUCAGAGGUUCGAAGACGAUUAGAU
RNAcentral lists this ribosomal RNA (414 nucleotides) under uncultured eukaryote. RNAcentral's name for it is "bacterial SSU rRNA". It matches the Rfam family "Eukaryotic small subunit ribosomal RNA", at positions 592 to 1013 of the family's 1831-position model. The record is from RNAcentral.